ACAGAGGUCUCAAGCGUUGUUCGGAUUCAUUGGGCGUAAAGGGUGCGUAGGUGGCGCCAUAAGUCAGGUGUGAAAUCUCGGGGCUCAACCCCGAAACUGCACUUGAUACUGUGGUGCUCGAGUACUGGAGAGGAGAUUGGAAUUUACGGUGUAGCAGUGAAAUGCGUAGAUAUCGUAAGGAAGACCAGUGGCGAAGGCGGCUACCUGGACAAUUGCUGUCGCUCAGGCACGAAAGCGUGGGGAGCAAAAGGGA
This 253-nucleotide ribosomal RNA is filed under the name uncultured prokaryote. Its description in RNAcentral is "partial 16S ribosomal RNA". It matches the Rfam family "Bacterial small subunit ribosomal RNA", at positions 525 to 777 of the family's 1533-position model. The record is from RNAcentral.